UCGCGACUCUCGCUUGUUCUAGAAGUUUCGGGGACGAACAAGAUUGGACGUGCCUCUCGUAGACUGCGAAUGACAUACAUCAGUGAUGAAUGCGUUGAGUAUAUCUCACUGUCCUCUUGUCGAGAAUUUUAUCGAGCUACGGAUUUAUAUUUUGAUGUAAUUGCGAUAAUGACUCUAUUACAUUUAUUUUUUCGUAGUAUCAGCGUAAAUAUCUGAUGAAUUCUCGCGAUACCCGACGACAACGGUUUCGUCAAUUGAGAAUCCCUCUCCGCAAUCUCGAUUUUCCGAAGACAGUACGAUCUGAAUUAUGGUCUUCAGUAUAAUAGAAGCGAAGGGUGAAAAAUGAGAGAUGCUCCAUUUUCAGAAAUAUCUCAGUUUCUUUACGACUGAAUUAAACUCAGGUUCCGUCCUGAUAGAUCCCUGAACGGACGUUCCUGGCGACGUAGCAUGUAUAAUUGCAUAUCGGCAAAUUGUCGUUCAGUUGUAACACGACACGGCGCGACGGGCAAAACCCGGCAAUUACCUAGAACACCAAAAUUGUAAAUAGCUCAUUUGACAGGUUUUUCAUAAUUCCCGAAAAAGCACCUUCGGUGCAAAGACCUUUCGCCAAGUACAUUAAAAAUCUGUUCAUUACACACAAAAAUAUCUUCUUUAAUCAAAAAUGUAUGCAUAUAAUCAUCUCGUACAAAAAAAGAUUCAAAUUAUAUACUACUGCUAAGUACAUGUCUGUUGAUUUACAAUAAAAGCAUGAUGACUGCUGUCAGUGGUAUCAGACUGGCGAUAAACUUAUCCAACUACAAAUAAUAAUUAAGUAUGAAUAAAAAAUAAAAUAACUCGUACAUUGAUGAAAAUCCAAUUCGCAAUUCACCAAUCCUAUUUAGAGUAGUGUAAUAAUUAUGACUAGUUUGUUGUAUAUUUUUUACUUAGUUCUGAACCUAUGACUAUGAAACACAGUGACCUCACUUUUUUUCAUUAUAUUAUACGAGUUAAAUCAGUGUCCAAAAAAUGAAAUUAGCACUAUGACCAGUUAUAUUGUUUAUAUUGUAUCCAAACAGUUGUUUUCUUGAAAUUUAUAAAUUUCUGCUGGGAUUCAUAUUACUGGCUUCUCUUGUUCGAAGCUUUAUGUGUCUUGUAUCCCGGAAGGUCAGUUACAAUUGGCAAGAUAUACUUUGCUAGUUCAAAUUUACUCAUCUGACUAUGUUCGAUACACUGAGCACUCAGUGCUACAUGUAUCGCAUCAUAUACUUGAAACUUCGAUCAAUCACGUUUAUUUGCAGAGUAUCAAGCUACCCAAGUUUCCAUAAUUAUUCAGACAUUUAUCAUAUAAUCCCUAUAUCAACACCGAAUUGAGUUUUUGUUUAAAAUUUAUCGAUUAGAACUCCAAGUAAAUCUCGUUUCUGAAUCAGGCACUAAAAAUAAAAAAAAAGGUGAACAAAUGUCAAAUUGCUCAAGUCUUGAUCGUUGAAAGUUACACAACAUCAAUAAUAAAAAAUUACCUUCAGUAUUGUGAAGUUUUACUUCAGAGUGACCAACAUUUAAUUACAUGGAUAUCAACACACACGAAACUUUGCUGUUAAAUUGGUAUCACUAUAAUUUUGUGGAAAGACUAGACUUCAAAUUCUGAAUGUGCAAAGUGUCAAAUCUUUCUAAAGCGGUAUUAUAAAACUACUUUUGAUGCACUUUAAAGUUAUACAAAGAAAUCUGUGAACAGAUCUUACGGUGAUGGUCAAAGGGGCCACUCGCUUUAAAUUCAUCAACGAUUCAGAAUUAAUUCCCUCAUGAUGUCCAAUAUUAAAAAUUAGUUUGAAUUUCAAUAUUCUUCAAGUGGUUCCUAAAAGUUUGGAGAUGUUUGGUAUAUUACUAAUUUCAAAGUGAUUGUCGAUAUUAAAUUAAAUCUUGAAUCCCAGUGAUUUCCAGUGAUUUUUAAUUAAUUCCUCAAGUGAAUGGUUCCUCGAUGCUGGUGUUUGAUCCUGCGUUCGGUCGGUCAUAUUGAAUAACUAGCUAUCCAUGCGCAUGUCACACCAAUUUUGCUUCAGUUGAAGCUUUUAAUUUCUAAAAUAUAGAAAGAAUGUUUUAAUGUUGAUGUUACAGAAGAAUAGGUUACGUAAAACAGUCCAGAAAAUGCUUGAGAAAAUUAUUAAUGGCUCGUAAGACUCACCACAAGAUUACACAGCUACUUGAGAUAUUGUUUACAGCGAAGAAGGAAGAAAGUUUUUAACCAAAAUCUACGACAGUUUCAAUUUUAAGAAUUUUGAACAACUGGUAAGGAGUGGAUGCACAUAUGUAUAUUGUCAAUGCCUUUCAUUGCGAUGGGAUAGAAGUCUACAAAAAUAUUCUUAUACACUGUCUUUAAGCAUGGUCAACCUACGUUUCAACUCUAAAUAGUCGCUACAUGAGUUGUUUCGAUACCGUUAAAAAAUGUACUUGCAAAUAUAUUUGCUUUCUCUACUCUAUUCUCUCCUUAAGUCUUACAGGUGUAAAAAUAUAAAAGUAAAAUACAAUAAAAAAAUAAUAUGAAACUAGUGUGAUAAUGACAAUUGUUAUAUUGUACCUGGGAGCUGCCGUCCAUGAUUUUAUAAUAGCGUUUUUGGUGUAUUACCCAAUGAUAUAUGUGCCUGUCUUGUUUAUUAUCUAAUAGAUAAGUAAAUAGGUAUAAAAUGCUGACGACUGAUGUUGAUCAAUCGUAGAAAGUUAUUCAAAAAAAACAUGUUUGGGUGUUUGACAUUGAUUUUAGUGAACUUGCUGUUAAAUAGCAGAUUUAAUUGCUGACGUAUUAUACAGUGCAUUAUAAUUAUACAAAAUCCUUGUCGGAACAUGUGGUAUAUGUACAAAUGAUACUUACCCUGGUAAAAAUGAUUUCUAUGAUUUUCUACGAAUUUUCAGAGAAAUAGGAACAUUUCGAAUAAUUCUAUGCAAAAAAUUGUAAUACGCAUAGUUUCUCAUAAAAAAUGGUCAAUUUUCAUGAAAAUUUGUAUUUUUUCAGUAAGAAGUUUAUAAGACACUACAACUUUCAAAGAAAACUAACAAUUUUUCAUGAAAAACCGUACACAUUCACAAUUUUGUAUGGAAUAACACGAAAUAUUCCAAUUUCUGUAAAAAUUCUUAGUAGUAAAAAUUUUCACCAGGGUAUCUGUAUGAAAAUACAAAAUUUCUAUUUUCCGCGCUUUUGUUUGUAUAAUAACCGAAUUUUCAUAGUUCUUGUCGAUUUUUUAACGUAAGUAAAUAAUCGUCAUAGUGACCACCUGUUAUGAUGUUCAUAGCAUGUAGACAGUGUACAUAUAAGUAUAAGAUUAUCUCCAUUGUAUAAAAUAAUGUAAGAUUACCUACAUUGUGUAAAAUAAAUAACUUGUUUAAGUGCCUAUACCUCA
Molecule: long non-coding RNA, 3368 nt
Filed under: Neodiprion pinetum (white pine sawfly)
Lineage: Eukaryota; Metazoa; Arthropoda; Insecta; Hymenoptera; Diprionidae
Description: uncharacterized LOC124211026
Source: RNAcentral